This 492-nucleotide ribosomal RNA is filed under the name uncultured bacterium. RNAcentral's name for it is "partial 16S ribosomal RNA". It matches the Rfam family "Bacterial small subunit ribosomal RNA", at positions 29 to 507 of the family's 1533-position model. The record is from RNAcentral.
AGUGAACGCUGGCGGUAGGCCUAACACAUGCAAGUCGAACGGCAGCACAGUAAGAGCUUGCUCUUACGGGUGGCGAGUGGCGGACGGGUGAGGAAUACAUCGGAAUCUACUUUUUCGUGGGGGAUAACGUAGGGAAACUUACGCUAAUACCGCAUACGACCUACGGGUGAAAGCAGGGGAUCUUCGGACCUUGCGCGAUUGAAUGAGCCGAUGUCGGAUUAGCUAGUUGGCGGGGUAAAGGCCCACCAAGGCGACGAUCCGUAGCUGGUCUGAGAGGAUGAUCAGCCACACUGGAACUGAGACACGGUCCAGACUCCUACGGGAGGCAGCAGUGGGGAAUAUUGGACAAUGGGCCCAAGCCUGAUCCAGCCAUACCGCGUGAGUGAAGAAGGCCUUCGGGUUGUAAAGCCCUUUUGUUGGGAAAGAAAAGCAGCAGGUUAAUACCCCGCUGUUCUGACGGUACCCAAAGAAUAAGCACCGGCUAACUUCGUG